GGGCCCUUUCCGGCAGCUACCUCGACCAAUCAGCGAGCAAAGCUCGCCCAACGCUCUGCCAAUUAGAUGCCGCAAACUAGGCCCGCCUCUUGUAGCGUGGCUGAGCACCUCCAUCACGCCUGCGCGGGCCCCCGUGGCCUGCCGGGACUUGGAGUUCCAUUCCGGCGUACAAAGGCCAGUCAGAGGCCAAAACCCGAGGAGGGAAAAGAACAAAAGGGUGAAGAAAGAAGCGCGUCCUCCUAGCCGGGGCGGAGUAUCUCCCGCUUUCUUCUCUUGGAGACCGCAGCCCGAUUAAGCCAGAGGGGUUGCCCUGCAUCUCCUCGCGACCUUAGAAGCUUAUCUUGAGUCGGGCCUCAGCUUCGACGUCGGGCCUAAUUCAAGCGCUGGCCCGUGUUGGGUUCUUCUGGGAUGAGCCCUCAUUUGACAGCCGGGCCCUGAGAGGAGAGCGGCAGCCGCCCACUCCCCAGGGGAGACUCGGCGGCCGCGCUGGAACUUUGAGCUCCGCCCACGCACUACGUCUCCCAGCAGCGCCUGCGGCACUCUCACCGGCCACUCGGACUACAACUCCCGGGAGGCCCCGCGCCGCCCGUGCGCUGGCUAAGUGCAGUCCGCGGCCGGCCAGGCGGCGGCCCGGCCCGUCGCUAUUAACCCUAUAGGGGCAUCCACCCUUGUCCUUCUAAAGAGGGCGCCCCUUGAGGGACGGGGUGAGUUGCGCCCAGCGGAGGGGAAGCGAACACCCUGAGGAAAAUCAGAGGCUCUUGGGCCUCCGAGCGGCCCCUGACCGGAUGAAGGUGGGAAGCCGAGAAGCCGAAAAACCGAGUUGGGGAAAGAACAGACUCACCUCCUGACCCGCGAAGGGUCCGCUAGAUCGCCGGCUCCAGGAUCCGAGAGGCCUCAAACAGAUUCCAAGUCCGCAGGCAGAGUUCUCUGAGACCAGACCCCGGGGUGUUUGGAAAGAUUCUGGAGCUCAGUGGCAGAUCCCGGGUAUCUCAGCCCCGCAGGUAGAUCUCAAGUCCGCGGGCUUGCAGGCGAAGCUCAAAGAUCGUAGGCGGAUCCCGAAGACUCGCAGACAGCUCGGGAAACCACAGACUCCCCGGCAGAGCUCGGAGGCCACAGCAGCUAGCCAAGACACACCAGCAGCAGCUAAGCUGCAUUCAACUGGAGCUCUUCCGAACGGAAGGACUUGCAGCCUUCCCUCUCCCCAGCCAGGAUGAGAAAAUUAGACAAUGGGAGCCGAGCACUGGGGAAAGCAGGCAUUCUGCGUGGGGAAGCGCUCUGAGCUCGCUGUAGCCUUGGAGAGGGAAGUGAUGGAAAAAGAAUAUAGCAGCUUAUUAGGGACUCCCACCCUCUUCAAGUUAUAAAUAUCCCCAGAACCUUGGCUACGUGCCCAGAAGCCUGUUGUCUCUAACUUUACAGGAGACUUCUCUGCCUGGGCUGGGAAAGGGGCUUUUCUUUUGUUUUGCAGAUACAUCCACCCACUGAGUGACUUGAAUCCCCCCCACCCACCCCCAACAUGACUCUAGGCUAUGCUUUUAUUAGUGAGUGUCCUGUUCCCAGUACCCAGUUAUUUAUGGUUAAAUUACUCAAGUGUCUAAAAAGAACUAGGACCCUACCCAGCCAUGAGGCCGACUCUCUCACCCCCACUCCUCAUCCCCCAGCUGUGAGGCUAGGAAUUCUUUAGAUAGCUCAGAAUCGAACCAUCCUACCCCAUCUGAAAUUUAUUUGGGUACCCCCCCCAAAAAAAAAGGAAGAAAAAAAAGGGAUUUUAGGGCAUCCUCAAGUCCUUGAGAGACAAUGUCCAUAGUGGGAAGAGCGUGGGGUACUGAGUCAGACAGACCUGAGUUGGAAUCCUGGCUGCCUGUCCUUUAGAUAGUCAUUCACUCUCUCCAGGCCCAUUUCCCUUUCUGUAAAACAAGGCAGUCAUACCUGAAGCAGUGGUGAACACUAAGUGAGGUGACAUAAAGCACUCCACGCAAAAUGAACACUCAGAUGAUAGCUGUUAUUAUUAUGAAUCUUGCUUUUGGUGGCAGGGGAGACUUCCAGAAAGGCCUGUGGAUAUUUUCACUGGCUCAGAAAAAUCAAGGAAGUUGGAGUGGCCCAAGAGUGUGAGAAUCUGCUGGUGACCUUCACCUCACAAUGUUUCUGCUGGAAAUCCAGAGGGAAUUGGAAGUUGGGCCAGUUUGGUGAAUUCAAGCAAAUUGGUAGAUUGAGCCCAGUAGAGCAGAGGUAUUUGAGGCUGCCAGAAUGCAGCAAGUCGAGGCCUCACGCUCAGAGAAACUUCUGGGACAAGGAAGGGGGGUGGGGGUCAGUUCAGACUUUGGCGGAGUAAUUGCAUGUUUCUAAUUGGGCCUAAGGUGAGUUGAGCGCCUGAGCCUCUCAGCCCAGCAGGGCUCCCUUUUCAUCCCUUCGCUGACAGAUUGCUUUGUAAACUUCCUUAGGCCUCUCUCCCCCCUUGCUCCAGUGCUUUAAUUCCUUCUUUGUCCUCUCACUGUUUCUUUUAUUCCUCAGGCCUGCCUGGGGGCAGGACGACUCUCUCUCUCUCUCUCUCUCUCUCUCUCUCUCUCUCAGAGCCCAGCUUGGCUACUGGCCUCUUUCUGUAAGUGCUUUUCUCUCUCUUCACCUGGAACCCUCAAGAGGGUGGAAGAGAAGAGAGGCUGAGAGCAAAGGGAAAGCCCAACUGCAUUUGGUACCCUUGGGGAAGAAGGAGAGGAAAGACAGUGGGUGAGGGGCUUCCUGGUGCAGCCUUCAGUGGGACUCUGAGGGUUGGGGGGUCACUGGAGAAGGAGGUGGCUUCCUGCCCCAUUGUUCAGGACUUCAUUGUUUCUCAGGAAUACUUAUUGUCUGUGAAUUUUCAAUAAUUAACUUGGAAAGCUGCAUGUGUUCCCAUCAUUCAGCAGACCCCUAGCAUCUACUGUGUACAGAGGUGGCCGCAGAGCCUCUCAUUCAUGGAAAGGGGCCAGAAGAACCACUGGGCCAGGGUCUCCAAGUUAGGCUUUGGACAUUAUCUCCAAAUGCGGUUAUACAUUAUGUCAGCUCCACUGACCAAUUUGAUCAAAGACCCUCCUUCUGUGUCCUUAAGCUUGUUUCUUAUUAACAGGCUGCUCUGCCUGUGGAGCACUAUAAAUUAUUAUAUUUUAACAAGUCCUAUAAUCAUCUUGUAAGCAGCACAAUUACGGUGUGAUUUUUUUAUUAGAAGCAUUAAUUUAUUAAAUAUGGAAAAACGUGCCUCAA
Long non-coding RNA from Canis lupus familiaris (dog), 3231 nucleotides. RefSeq lists it as uncharacterized. NCBI's taxonomy places the organism in Eukaryota, Metazoa, Chordata, Mammalia, Carnivora, Canidae. The record is from RefSeq and is a predicted model, not a curated record. The transcript has 2 exons.